AGUGAACGCUGGCGGUAGGCCUAACACAUGCAAGUCGAACGGCAGCACAGUAAGAGCUUGCUCUUACGGGUGGCGAGUGGCGGACGGGUGAGGAAUACAUCGGAAUCUACUUUUUCGUGGGGGAUAACGUAGGGAAACUUACGCUAAUACCGCAUACGACCUACGGGUGAAAGCAGGGGAUCUUCGGACCUUGCGCGAUUGAAUGAGCCGAUGUCGGAUUAGCUAGUUGGCGGGGUAAAGGCCCACCAAGGCGACGAUCCGUAGCUGGUCUGAGAGGAUGAACAGCCACACUGGAACAGAGACACGGUCCAGACUCCUAAGGGAGGCAGCAGUGGGGAAUAUUGGACAAUGGGCGCAAGCCUGAUCCAGCCAUACCGCGUGGGUGAAGAAGGCCUUCGGGUUGUAAAGCCCUUUUGUUGGGAAAGAAAAGCAGCAGGUUAAUACCCCGCUGUUCUGACGGUACCCAAAGAAUAAGCACCGGCUAACUUCGUG
This 492-nucleotide ribosomal RNA is filed under the name uncultured bacterium. Its description in RNAcentral is "partial 16S ribosomal RNA". It matches the Rfam family "Bacterial small subunit ribosomal RNA", at positions 29 to 507 of the family's 1533-position model. The record is from RNAcentral.